GGGGAAAAGGGGAGCUUACACGUGCAGUCGAGGGGUAGAAGUCUUCGGGCUUUGAGACCGGCGCACGGGUGCGUAACGCGUAUGCAAUCUACCUUUUACAGGGGGAUAGCCCAGAGAAAUUUGGAUUAAUACCCCAUGGUAUAGUGAGUUGGCAUCAACCCACUAUUAAAGUCACAACGGUAAAAGAUGAGCAUGCGUCCCAUUAGCUAGAUGGUAAGGUAACGGCUUACCAUGGCUACGAUGGGUAGGGGUCCUGAGAGGGAGAUCCCCCACACUGGUACUGAGACACGGACCAGACUCAAACGGGAGGCAGCAGUGAGGAAUAUUGGACAAUGGGCGCAAGCCUGAUCCAGCCAUGCCGCGUGCAGGAUGACGGUCCUAUGGAUUGUAAACUGCUUUUGUACGAGAAGAAACACUCCUUCGUGAAGGAAUUUGACGGUAUCGUAAGAAUAAGGAUCGGCUAACUCCGUGCCAGCAGCCGCGGUAAUACGGAGGAUCCAAGCGUUAUCCGGAAUCAUUGGGUUUAAAGGGUCCGUAGGCGGUUUAGUAAGUCAGUGGUGAAAGCCCAUCGCUCAACGGUGGAACGGCCAUUGAUACUGCUGAACUUGAAUUAUUAGGAAGUAACUAGAAUAUGUAGUGUAGCGGUGAAAUGCUUAGAGAUUACAUGGAAUACCAAUUGCGAAGGCAGGUUACUACUAAUGGAUUGACGCUGAUGGACGAAAGCGUGGGUAGCGAACAGGAUUAGAUACCCUGGUAGUCCACGCCGUAAACGAUGGAUACUAGCUGUUGGGCGCAAGUUCAGUGGCUAAGCGAAAGUGAUAAGUAUCCCACCUGGGGAGUACGAACGCAAGUUUGAAACUCAAAGGAAUUGACGGGGGCCCGCACAAGCGGUGGAGCAUGUGGUUUAAUUCGAUGAUACGCGAGGAACCUUACCAAGGCUUAAAUGUAGAUUGACCGUUUUGGAAACAGAACUUUCGCAAGACAAUUUACAAGGUGCUGCAUGGUUGUCGUCAGCUCGUGCCGUGAGGUGUCAGGUUAAGUCCUAUAACGAGCGCAACCCCUGUUGUUAGUUGCCAUCGAGUCAAGUCGGGAACUCUAACAAGACUGCCAGUGCAAACUGUGAAGGAAGGUGGGGAUGACGUCAAAUCAUCCC
This 1153-nucleotide ribosomal RNA is filed under the name Flavobacterium sp. RPD049. RNAcentral's name for it is "bacterial SSU rRNA". It matches the Rfam family "Bacterial small subunit ribosomal RNA", at positions 26 to 1196 of the family's 1533-position model. The record is from RNAcentral. Lineage: Bacteria; Pseudomonadati; Bacteroidota; Flavobacteriia; Flavobacteriales; Flavobacteriaceae.